This 395-nucleotide unclassified non-coding RNA is filed under the name soil metagenome. RNAcentral describes it as "partial contains 5.8S ribosomal RNA, internal transcribed spacer 2, and large subunit ribosomal RNA". The stretch from base 1 to 122 matches the Rfam family "5.8S ribosomal RNA", at positions 35 to 154 of the family's 154-position model. The record is from RNAcentral.
GAUGAAGAACGUAGCGAAAUGCGAUACUUGGUGUGAAUUGCAGAAUCCCGUGAACCAUCGAGUCUUUGAACGCAAGUUGCGCCCGAAGCCAUCAGGUUGAGGGCACGUCUGCCUGGGCGUCACAUAUCGUUGCCCAAUGCCUAUUGCAGUGCAAUAGGAAUUUCUAGGGCGAAUGAUGGCUUCCCGUGAGCGUUGUUGCCUCGCGGUUGGUUGAAAAUCGAGUCCUUGGUAGGGUGUGCCAUGGUAGAUGGUGGUCGAGUUAGAACGAUACCGAUCAUGUGCAUGCUCCCCAAAAUGUGGCCUCUAUGACCCACACGCGUCUUUUGACGCUCAUGACGAGACCUCAGGUCAGGCGGGGCUACCCGCUGAAUUUAAGCAUAUCAAUAAGCGGAGGA